CUGAAUGGACCCCUGAGCAGCCAUCAGCACGGAGACUGAUCAAAAGCUGGGGCCAUGGAGCCGUCCUGUCCCCAGGGCGAGGGUCCAGGGCAGCUUGUGCAGUCGCAUCUCUCCCCGAUUUCAUAAACACGUCACAGAACGACUGCUUCUAAUUUGGGCCUGGUCUUGUGAGGCCUGUAACACAUAGGCGUUUUAAUUUGAGCAUUCUGACAUUCGCAUCUCUUUUGUGACCCUAAAAUUGAGUUAUUAAGCAUUUGGCUUAAAAAAUACGUUGCCAGCGAGUGGACCCUGAAGAACUCCCGGCCCUUCCCUGAACCUCACACGCAGAACAGAGACACUCCCACCACCUUCCUGAAGUGCCAGUGCCAUCAGCGCUGGUGGUCACCCAUGUGCCAGGCCCUGUGCAGGGAGCUGUGCACAUGUGAGCCUGUCCACCUCUCUCAAUGACCCUGCAAGGCGGCUGUUAGGCCCAUUUUCCAGAUUCAGAGGAAAACGGUUUUUCUGUUCUCACAAUGGUGGUUCACAGUUUGUGGCUCGCUGCCCAGACUUUUAGCUCAGAGGGAAGACGUACAGGCCAGAUUCGUCCAUAAACGGCCAGUGGUGACAGAAGACCACAUGGCCUGGGAGAGGCAACGCUGAACCAGACCAACCCAGCUCACCCUGCCUGAGGCCAGCCUGAGGCAUUGUGGCCACGGCAAGUUUUUCGACAGGUUCUUCAUCUCCAGAACCGGGAGAGUUGUGCAGUUUCUACACCCUCCUCAUGCGGGAGCACCAAGAUCUGAGCACGCAGCCAGGAGACCAAGGUGCUCCUAACACUGAGCGUGCAAAACACACACAUACCCAGAGGGUGAUAAUGGAAAGCUGGGCGCCAAAGGCAGCUGGGACCUGGCUCACCGUUCCCAGUGUUGAUGACAACCAGGGACGCUGGCUGAGCGCUUCCUCUUUGCCAGGAGCUGCGCAAAGCCCUUCGCUUCCAGAAUCUCUCUGGAGCCCUGUGAGAAGCCUAGAAGGUGGAUCCAAUGAUCAUUUCCAUUUUUCAAACGAGGGCACUGAAGCUCAGAGGAGUUAAGUCACGUCUCCGGAGAUCACACAGCCACCAGGUGGCCAAGCUGGGCUUUGAACCCGACGCUGUUUGCCUCACAGUUGGGUGGUCACACGGUGUCUGCCGCCUGGUCUCCGUGCACUCAGCCGCGGGUCUCCUGUAACACAAGGUGUCUUCAUCAGUCUGUCAACUGAGGCUCUAUUCUCAGAGCUGCUUGGGGACAGAAAAUCCCACCUUGCUACACAAUUUGGCUUACAUUGAAGUCUGUCUGUUUGGGCCCCGACUUCCUUUCUCUCUCCUUUACCCUCGCCUUUCGACUUGGUUUCACUCCUCUCUCAAGAGCGGUGGAGCCUGCCUCCCGCAAACUCCUGAAUGCUGACUCAGCACCAGCACCGGUUGCCGCUUCCCCCAGGGACCACUUGGUUGGCUCUAACUUGCGCCAUAAAAUUGCCUGACCACGUCCCUGUCCCUGAGGGAAAGGGGUGAGCUUAUUGCCCAGGAGUUUCUUGAUAUUGAAAAUAUGCGCUGAGCUCAAAGACCCUCAAGCCAGUUGUUGGGGUCACUGCUUCCCAACUUCAGCUUCAAAAGGCCUGGGGAGGGCUGCCUGCCUGCCCCCUUGGAAAGGACAAUCCGAUUGUAAAUAUCAUCUGCGCUUCGAAGGACGUUCAGACGGUAAUACCCAAGCAAUUACUUUCCUUUCAAGAUCAUUAAACACAAAUCAGACUUGUAUUUUAAUAGGGCUGCCGAUGUUGUUAAUGGUGGGGGUGGCGUCCAGGGUCAGUUUUUUCCUUAAUGGCUGGAUGUUGAUGCUGCCGCCCGCCCCGAGCAGCUUCGCUGGGGGAGGCAGCUCCCUGCUUUGGAGACAUUGCACCGAGAAUCCCUCCCUUCUUCUGCCACACCACCUUCAGAGCGUUUAGGAGGACGGUGACAGCUCCCUCCACCCUCCCCUUGCCCACAGCCUCCCUCCCUCAACUUCUCCCCACCAACACGCAGGCUCCCAGGGCAGUGGUCUCUGAAAGGAAUGAACAGCGGAGGCUCCACUCUCACCACCGGGCUCCCAGCUCCCUUCUAUCUUCCUCCUACUUUAUGGAACAGAGAUGCUGAAAGAUGCUGUCCGGAAGGCCUGGGUCCGCUGCUCACACCCUGGGCAGAGGGACGGGCCUGCAGAGGGAACGGUGGAGCUGCUCUCCUCCUCCGACUCCCCAGUCUCAGAGUGGAACCUCUGAGACCACGGAGGGACAAGCUGCUGCCAGGUGGAAGCUGGGCUCUGAAGUCUGUGGACGGCCCCUGGAAGGACGUGCGCCCGAUGUGCUGACUGCAGAGGUGGGGGGACCAUCCCUCGCCCAGCUCGCCCUGCCACUGCUGUCACCUUGCUGAUGGUGACACAGCAGGACCCCCCUCCACCCGGCACCCAGUGAGUGUGACCCGAGUGGCUGCCCGUGGAGUGAGGUGUCAGGUUCCCCU
Equus caballus (horse) is the source of this 2506-nucleotide long non-coding RNA. The record is from Ensembl. Lineage: Eukaryota; Metazoa; Chordata; Mammalia; Perissodactyla; Equidae.